CUACGAAGGGGGCAAGCGUUGUUCGGAAUAACUGGGCGUAAAGCGCACGUAGGCGGAAUGUUAAGUUAGAGGUGAAAUCCCAGGGCUCAACCCUGGAACUGCCUUUAAUACUGGCAAUCUAGAGACCGAGAGAGGUGAGUGGAAUUCCGAGUGUAGAGGUGAAAUUCGUAGAUAUUCGGAGGAACACCAGUGGCGAAGGCGGCUCACUGGCUCGGUACUGACGCUGAGGUGCGAAAGCGUGGGGAGCAGACAGGAUUAGAAACCCUAGUAGUCC
RNAcentral lists this ribosomal RNA (274 nucleotides) under uncultured bacterium. Its description in RNAcentral is "partial 16S ribosomal RNA". It matches the Rfam family "Bacterial small subunit ribosomal RNA", at positions 523 to 796 of the family's 1533-position model. The record is from RNAcentral.